Molecule: ribosomal RNA, 497 nt
Filed under: uncultured bacterium
Lineage: Bacteria
Description: partial 16S ribosomal RNA
Rfam family: Bacterial small subunit ribosomal RNA
Source: RNAcentral
GAUGAACGCUGGCGGCGUGCCUAAUACAUGCAAGUCGAGCGAACAGACGAGGAGCUUGCUCCUCUGACGUUAGCGGCGGACGGGUGAGUAACACGUGGAUCACCCACCUAUAAGACUGGGAUAACUUCGGGAAACCGGAGCUAAUAGCGGAUAAUAUAUUGAUCCGCAUGGUUCAUUAGUGAAUGACGGUUUUGCUGUAACUUCUAGAUGCAUACGAGCCGCAUUAGCUAGUUGGUAAGGUAAAGGCUUACCAAGGCUACGAUGCGUAGCCGACCUGCGAGAGUGAUCGGCCACACUAGAGCUGAGACACGGUCCAGGCGCCUACGAUAGGCAGCAGUAGGGAAUCGUCCGCAGUGGGCGGAAGCCUGACGGAGCGGCGCCACGUGAGUGAUGAAAGUCUUCGGAUCGGAAUACUCUGUUAUGAGGGAAGAACAAAUUUGUAAGUAACUAUGCACGGCUUGACGGUACCUGGUCAGAAAGCCACGGCUAACUACGUG